Papaver somniferum (opium poppy) is the source of this 753-nucleotide long non-coding RNA. RefSeq lists it as uncharacterized. The transcript has 4 exons. The record is from RefSeq and is a predicted model, not a curated record. NCBI's taxonomy places the organism in Eukaryota, Viridiplantae, Streptophyta, Magnoliopsida, Ranunculales, Papaveraceae.
AAAAUCAGUGACAAAAUAAUAUAAACUUUACUACUGCAAAUCAAGGAUAUUAGAAAUCUGAAUAUUUCUUAAGAAUACAUCAAAGACAGAGUCAGAAUAAUAUUUUUAGAUUUUCAUUGAUGUGGUUAGAUUGUCGCUACUUCUCUACUUCGAAUACAACUGCCUCACUCUAACGGGAUUUCUUGGAGAAUCUGCUUAAAAUUUCCAUACGAUUCCCAGUCCGUGUCUAUAUAAGGCUUCAUGUUCCAAGUAUGCUUAAUGGUUUCUCCAUGCCGACGGGUUCAUCGUAUCAAGAGGUUUUAUUUUUGGUUGAUUCACGACAGACUUGUGAUUUUGGAGCCAGGAUUCGUAUCUCUCUCAGGGAUAUUGAGUUUCUACAGUGAAGAUAUGUAUCAAGAAAAAAUAUGUUAUCCUGCCAAUAAACAUAUUAGUCUCAGAGGUCAUGAGAAUGGAUCAAGACUUUUAUCUCGGUAUACUUAGACUUUCUGAGGGUUAAUCUUCUAAUAUAUUGUUAUUGAAUUUGAAAUAAGAAUGCAGUCAUGUGACUGAUACUCUUCAUCUCAGAGUAAAUGUCUUUAAGUUCCGGACUAUUUGAAUACAUGAUAGCCUUUCAUAUUGGAUGUCAUUUGGGUCAUCUUUUGUGGAAGAGUUAAUUUUCAUGGUUACCCUUAUAGUAUACCAUGUUAGGAUCUUGAUUUGUUUGGACCCUUAGGUGGGAUAUGCUCCUGUUUGGGUACAUUUCAGGUCAUUCCU